AUUUAAAUAGCUUAUGUAAGAGCAUGAUAGUGAAGUUAUCAGGGAAAAUUUAUAUUUUUUAAAUA
Molecule: transfer RNA, 65 nt
Filed under: Fuelleborniella sp. FuspCA
Lineage: Eukaryota; Metazoa; Arthropoda; Insecta; Psocodea; Caeciliusidae
Description: tRNA-Phe
Source: RNAcentral